This 305-nucleotide ribosomal RNA is filed under the name uncultured bacterium. RNAcentral's name for it is "bacterial SSU rRNA". It matches the Rfam family "Bacterial small subunit ribosomal RNA", at positions 335 to 655 of the family's 1533-position model. The record is from RNAcentral.
ACCCUACGGGGGGCAGCAGUGGGGAAUAUUGGGCAGUGGGCGCAAGCCUGACCCAGCAACGCCGCGUGAAGGAAGAAGGCUUUCGGGUUGUAAACUUCUUUUCUCAGGGACGAAGAAAGUGACGGUACCUGAGGAAUAAGCCACGGCUAACUACGUGCCAGCAGCCGCGGUAAUACGUAGGUGGCAAGCGUUAUCCGGAUUUACUGUGUGUAAAGGGCGUGUAGGCGGGGAAGCAAGUCAGGUGUGAAAACCACGGGCUCAAACUGUGGCCCGCAUUUGAAACUGAUUUUCUUGAGUACUGGAGA